Molecule: unclassified non-coding RNA, 401 nt
Filed under: Hevea brasiliensis (rubber tree)
Lineage: Eukaryota; Viridiplantae; Streptophyta; Magnoliopsida; Malpighiales; Euphorbiaceae
Source: RNAcentral
CUUUUUUUCACUCCUCAUCGCUGUUCAUCGUUUCUCUCGCCUCUUCUUGUUUCCGUCUGUCGGUACCAUCAUUCUAGCUGCCAUCCACCACCGUUUACGGUGCUUCAUUCAGCUGUUCAUUAACGCCUUAGUCCACACUCCACCACCGGUUGUUAUCGUUGUUGCUGCUUCGCUGGGCACGCUUGUGGGUUCUUUUUGCGGAGAUUUUAAAGAAAGAUGCCACACAGAACACGGCCUAUGACAGCUCUCUUGGUGUUUACUGGACUCAAUGUCAUCUUGGUGUCGAGUAUCACUCCGGUUUAUGAUUUUGUGUGCUUCCAUCCUUACUGGGAAAGAAGGAGAGAACACCGCCAGCAGGAAGGUGAAGCUGCUUUAACAAAGGCUUCUGCAUGAACCCAGAA